GGUUAAGCGACUAAGCGUACACGGUGGAUGCCCUGGCAGUCAGAGGCGAUGAAGGACGUGCUAAUCUGCGAUAAGCGUCGGUAAGGUGAUAUGAACCGUUAUAACCGGCGAUUUCCGAAUGGGGAAACCCAGUGUGUUUCGACACACUAUCAUUAACUGAAUCCAUAGGUUAAUGAGGCGAACCGGGGGAACUGAAACAUCUAAGUACCCCGAGGAAAAGAAAUCAACCGAGAUUCCCCCAGUAGCGGCGAGCGAACGGGGAGGAGCCCAGAGCCUGAAUCAGUGUGUGUGUUAGUGGAAGCGUCUGGAAAGGCGCGCGAUACAGGGUGACAGCCCCGUACACAAAAAUGCACAUGCUGUGAGCUCGAUGAGUAGGGCGGGACACGUGGUAUCCUGUCUGAAUAUGGGGGGACCAUCCUCCAAGGCUAAAUACUCCUGACUGACCGAUAGUGAACCAGUACCGUGAGGGAAAGGCGAAAAGAACCCCGGCGAGGGGAGUGAAAAAGAACCUGAAACCGUGUACGUACAAGCAGUGGGAGCACGCUUCGGCGUGUGACUGCGUACCUUUUGUAUAAUGGGUCAGCGACUUAUAUUCUGUAGCAAGGUUAACCGAAUAGGGGAGCCGAAGGGAAACCGAGUCUUAACUGGGCGUUAAGUUGCAGGGUAUAGACCCGAAACCCGGUGAUCUAGCCAUGGGCAGGUUGAAGGUUGGGUAACACUAACUGGAGGACCGAACCGACUAAUGUUGAAAAAUUAGCGGAUGACUUGUGGCUGGGGGUGAAAGGCCAAUCAAACCGGGAGAUAGCUGGUUCUCCCCGAAAGCUAUUUAGGUAGCGCCUCGUGAACUCAUCUCCGGGGGUAGAGCACUGUUUCGGCAAGGGGGUCAUCCCGACUUACCAACCCGAUGCAAACUGCGAAUACCGGAGAAUGUUAUCACGGGAGACACACGGCGGGUGCUAACGUCCGUCGUGAAGAGGGAAACAACCCAGACCGCCAGCUAAGGUCCCAAAGUCAUGGUUAAGUGGGAAACGAUGUGGGAAGGCCCAGACAGCCAGGAUGUUGGCUUAGAAGCAGCCAUCAUUUAAAGAAAGCGUAAUAGCUCACUGGUCGAGUCGGCCUGCGCGGAAGAUGUAACGGGGCUAAACCAUGCACCGAAGCUGCGGCAGCGACACUGUGUGUUGUUGGGUAGGGGAGCGUUCUGUAAGCCUGUGAAGGUGUACUGUGAGGUAUGCUGGAGGUAUCAGAAGUGCGAAUGCUGACAUAAGUAACGAUAAAGCGGGUGAAAAGCCCGCUCGCCGGAAGACCAAGGGUUCCUGUCCAACGUUAAUCGGGGCAGGGUGAGUCGACCCCUAAGGCGAGGCCGAAAGGCGUAGUCGAUGGGAAACAGGUUAAUAUUCCUGUACUUGGUGUUACUGCGAAGGGGGGACGGAGAAGGCUAUGUUGGCCGGGCGACGGUUGUCCCGGUUUAAGCGUGUAGGCUGGUUUUCCAGGCAAAUCCGGAAAAUCAAGGCUGAGGCGUGAUGACGAGGCACUACGGUGCUGAAGCAACAAAUGCCCUGCUUCCAGGAAAAGCCUCUAAGCAUCAGGUAACAUCAAAUCGUACCCCAAACCGACACAGGUGGUCAGGUAGAGAAUACCAAGGCGCUUGAGAGAACUCGGGUGAAGGAACUAGGCAAAAUGGUGCCGUAACUUCGGGAGAAGGCACGCUGAUAUGUAGGUGAAGCGACUUGCUCGUGGAGCUGAAAUCAGUCGAAGAUACCAGCUGGCUGCAACUGUUUAUUAAAAACACAGCACUGUGCAAACACGAAAGUGGACGUAUACGGUGUGACGCCUGCCCGGUGCCGGAAGGUUAAUUGAUGGGGUUAGCGCAAGCGAAGCUCUUGAUCGAAGCCCCGGUAAACGGCGGCCGUAACUAUAACGGUCCUAAGGUAGCGAAAUUCCUUGUCGGGUAAGUUCCGACCUGCACGAAUGGCGUAAUGAUGGCCAGGCUGUCUCCACCCGAGACUCAGUGAAAUUGAACUCGCUGUGAAGAUGCAGUGUACCCGCGGCAAGACGGAAAGACCCCGUGAACCUUUACUAUAGCUUGACACUGAACAUUGAGCCUUGAUGUGUAGGAUAGGUGGGAGGCUUUGAAGUGUGGACGCCAGUCUGCAUGGAGCCGACCUUGAAAUACCACCCUUUAAUGUUUGAUGUUCUAACGUUGACCCGUAAUCCGGGUUGCGGACAGUGUCUGGUGGGUAGUUUGACUGGGGCGGUCUCCUCCUAAAGAGUAACGGAGGAGCACGAAGGUUGGCUAAUCCUGGUCGGACAUCAGGAGGUUAGUGCAAUGGCAUAAGCCAGCUUGACUGCGAGCGUGACGGCGCGAGCAGGUGCGAAAGCAGGUCAUAGUGAUCCGGUGGUUCUGAAUGGAAGGGCCAUCGCUCAACGGAUAAAAGGUACUCCGGGGAUAACAGGCUGAUACCGCCCAAGAGUUCAUAUCGACGGCGGUGUUUGGCACCUCGAUGUCGGCUCAUCACAUCCUGGGGCUGAAGUAGGUCCCAAGGGUAUGGCUGUUCGCCAUUUAAAGUGGUACGCGAGCUGGGUUUAGAACGUCGUGAGACAGUUCGGUCCCUAUCUGCCGUGGGCGCUGGAGAACUGAGGGGGGCUGCUCCUAGUACGAGAGGACCGGAGUGGACGCAUCACUGGUGUUCGGGUUGUCAUGCCAAUGGCACUGCCCGGUAGCUAAAUGCGGAAGAGAUAAGUGCUGAAAGCAUCUAAGCACGAAACUUGCCCCGAGAUGAGUUCUCCCUGACCCUUUAAGGGUCCUGAAGGAACGUUGAAGACGACGACGUUGAUAGGCCGGGUGUGUAAGCGCAGCGAUGCGUUGAGCUAACCGGUACUAAUGAACCGUGAGGCUUAACCUU
RNAcentral lists this ribosomal RNA (2903 nucleotides) under Escherichia coli. Its description in RNAcentral is "23S ribosomal RNA". It matches the Rfam family "Bacterial large subunit ribosomal RNA". The record is from RNAcentral. Lineage: Bacteria; Pseudomonadati; Pseudomonadota; Gammaproteobacteria; Enterobacterales; Enterobacteriaceae.